CUACGGGUGGCUGCAGUCGAGAAUCUUCCGCAAUGGACGAAAGUCUGACGGAGCGACGCCGCGUGCGGGAUGAAGGCCUUCGGGUUGUAAACCGCUGUCAGUGGGGAGGAAAUGCAUCAGGGUUCUCCCUGGUGUUUGACCGAUCCGCAGAGGAAGCGCAGGCUAAGUUCGUGCCAGCAGCCGCGGUAACACGAACUGCGCGAACGUUAUUCGGAAUCACUGGGCUUAAAGAGUUCGUAGGCGGCCUUUCAAGUCGGGUGUGAAAUCCCUCGGCUCAACCGAGGAAUUGCGCCUGAUACUGUUGGGCUUGAGGGGGAUAGGGGUGAGCGGAACUGAUGGUGGAGCGGUGAAAUGCGUAGAUAUCAUCAGGAACACCGGUGGCGAAGGCGGCUCACUGGAUCUCUUCUGACGCUGAGGAACGAAAGCUAGGGGAGCGAACGGGAUUAGAUACCCGAGUAGUC
RNAcentral lists this ribosomal RNA (461 nucleotides) under uncultured bacterium. Its description in RNAcentral is "partial 16S ribosomal RNA". It matches the Rfam family "Bacterial small subunit ribosomal RNA", at positions 339 to 795 of the family's 1533-position model. The record is from RNAcentral.